UAGGGAAUAUUGGUAAUGUGCGAAAGCGCGAACCAGCAACGCCGCGUGCACGAUGAAGGCCUUCGGGUUGUAAAGUGCUUUUAGAGAGGAUGAGGAAGGACAGUACUUUCUGAAUAAGCCUCGGCUAACUACGUGCCAGCAGCCGCGGUAAAACGUAGGAGGCUAGCGUUAUCCGGAUUUACUGGGCGUAAAGCGCGUGCAGGUGGUUUCGUAAGUUGGAUGUGAAAGCUCCUGGCUUAACUGGGAGAGGUCGUUCAAAACUGCGAGGCUUGAGAGUGGUAGAGGGAGGUGGAAUUCCGGGUGUAGUGGUGAAAUGCGUAGAUAUCCGGAGGAACACCAGUGGCGAAAGCGGCCUCCUGGACCAUUUCUGACACUCAGACGCGAAAGCUAAGGUAGCAAA
This 400-nucleotide ribosomal RNA is filed under the name uncultured bacterium. RNAcentral's name for it is "bacterial SSU rRNA". It matches the Rfam family "Bacterial small subunit ribosomal RNA", at positions 355 to 772 of the family's 1533-position model. The record is from RNAcentral.